AAGAAUUUAAAAGUCGAACAGACUUAAAAUUUAAGCGGCUACACCUAAAAUUAUAUCUUAAUCCAACAUCGAGGUCGCAAUCUUUUUUAUCGAUAUGAACUCUCCAAAAAAAUUACGCUGUUAUCCCUAAAGUAACUUGUUUUUUUAAUCGCUAAUAACGGAUCAAUUAUUCAUAAAUUAAUGAUUUAAACAAUUAAAAGUUUAUUAAAUUUUAAUAUCACCCCAAUAAAAUAUAAUCUAUUAUCAUAACAAAAAAAAUCUACAAAAUUAUAAUAAUAUAAAUAUAAAGAUUUAUAGGGUCUUCUCGUCUUUUAAAUAAAUUUUAGCUUUUUGACUAAAAAAUAAAAUUCUAUUAUAAAUUUUUAUGAAACAGUUAAUAUCUCGUCCAACCAUUCAUACCAGCCUUCAAUUAAAAGACUAAUGAUUAUGCUACCUUUGCACAGUUAGUAUACUGCGGCCAUUUAAAAAAAAAUUCAGUGGGCAGGUCAGACUUUAAAAAAAAUUCAAAAAGAC
Molecule: ribosomal RNA, 513 nt
Filed under: Lucilia ampullacea
Lineage: Eukaryota; Metazoa; Arthropoda; Insecta; Diptera; Calliphoridae
Description: partial 16S ribosomal RNA
Source: RNAcentral